CUUCCCAGCGCCUCGUGGCACGCACAGGAGCUCAGCUCCUCUUUCAGGAGCUGCCGAGUUGGUGUUUUGUCUCCAUGCAAAGCCAUGGCUUUUGCUGAGCUCCUGCAGGCAGGCGAGCUCCCGCUGAACACUGGACAACUCGAUGUUAACAGGCUCUUGCUGCUGUGCGAGGGCAGUGGUUCUCAGCGAAGAUGUAAUCUGCGCAUCAUGAGACAAGAACGCAACAGAUCUGCCAGGUUUUAAUGCAACAUACCAACUAUUUUGACUUGGUCUUAGAAAUGCUUUCCAGUGUCAGAUCAAAUUAGUGUUUCCUAUGACUGAAGCCACUGAAACUUUGUCAGCGGCGCUCCAUGCCACAAAAGCCCAGAGCCUCGCGCUGAGCAAGUCGCCCUCAAAUCACCCGCGGCGUGGAAGCGCGUCGUGCCCCGCUCACGUGGGACGGGGCGAUGGAGAUCCAAAUGGGAACGGACGCUCGGGUAAGCGAGUGCUUCGAGCCCGGUCUGGUUCAUGUCUGAUGCAACAGGCGCUGGGGAGGCCAAGGAGAGGGAUUUCUGUUCCACGAAGUGUUCCCGGUGCUGGGUGGGAUGCAAAUCCCUCCGGCUUGCAGCUAGCAGCAGAGAGUGAGUUCCUUGGUCCCUGGCAAAAUUAUUUAUUUGUUGCUGUCGUAUGCUGCUUAAAUACUUGCUUUCUGACAACAGUUUUCCUUCUCCAUUAG
Molecule: long non-coding RNA, 715 nt
Filed under: Struthio camelus australis
Lineage: Eukaryota; Metazoa; Chordata; Aves; Struthioniformes; Struthionidae
Description: lncRNA (ENSSCUG00000014027.1)
Source: RNAcentral